This is a transfer RNA of Sphaerobolus stellatus SS14, 74 nucleotides long. It matches the Rfam family "tRNA". Rfam says of the family: Transfer RNA (tRNA) molecules are approximately 80 nucleotides in length. Lineage: Eukaryota; Fungi; Basidiomycota; Agaricomycetes; Geastrales; Sphaerobolaceae. The record is from Rfam.
GACCUAUUAGCUCAGUUGGUUGGAGCGUGGUACUAAUAACGCUAAGGUCACAGGUUGAACCCCUGUAUGGACCA